Molecule: ribosomal RNA, 236 nt
Filed under: uncultured Candidatus Saccharibacteria bacterium
Lineage: Bacteria; Candidatus Saccharimonadota
Description: partial 16S ribosomal RNA
Rfam family: Bacterial small subunit ribosomal RNA
Source: RNAcentral
AAAGUGAAUAGUGAAAUCUGGUGGCUCAACCAUACAGGCUAUUAUUCAAACUCACUGACUCGAGAAUGGUAGAGGUAACUGGAAUUUCUUGUGUAGGGGUGAAAUCCGUAGAUAUAAGAAGGAACACCAAUGGCGUAGGCAGGUUACUGGACCAUUUCUGACACUGAGGCACGAAAGCGUGGGGAGCGAACCGGAUUAGAUACCCGGGUAGUCCACGCCGUAAACGAUGGAUACUA